This 481-nucleotide ribosomal RNA is filed under the name Hyaloraphidium curvatum. RNAcentral's name for it is "small subunit ribosomal RNA". It matches the Rfam family "Bacterial small subunit ribosomal RNA", at positions 1 to 576 of the family's 1533-position model. The record is from RNAcentral. Lineage: Eukaryota; Fungi; Monoblepharomycota; Hyaloraphidiomycetes; Hyaloraphidiales; Hyaloraphidiaceae.
GAAUACAAGGGUUUGAUCUUGGCUCCAUGCGAACGCAGUCCUCACGGUCCGACACAUGCUCAUCCAUCUUAGGAUUUUUAAUUCUAGACGGGUAAAAGGGUGAAGGGCUUAAAUCGUUGUAAAGCUCACAAUAAGAUCUGUUGAGCAGAUCUUAUAGAUGUCAUGAUAAAGCUUUCGAUGGCUUGAGUUUCCAUAAGAUAGACGGAGAGGUGACGGCUCAUACCGUGUCCAUGAAGGGGAACAUAUAGUCUUAAGACUAGUCACAGCGGUAGAUCAAAAACCGCCCUGAAUUCAGGCAGCAGUGGAGAAACUUAGGCAAUGGGAUACAUCUUGACCUAGCCGGGAGGAGGCGGAAGCCGCUACUUAUUUUCUAGGAUGAAGGUUUAGGUAGUCAAGUCUGUCCAAGAGACGUGCCAGAAGGCUCGGUAAAACGUACGGACUCAGCGUUGCAUACAUUAAAUAGGCAUCUAGACAAGACGGC